AUGAAACUGGGAGGGUCACUGCGGCGACAUCACAAAUGAGGUGGAGACAGAGGCUCAGAGACUGCAAGUGACUUGCCUGAGAUCACCCAGCAAAUGGGCGGUGAGGCCGGGGCCCCUAGUGGUGCCUCAUCCACCAAACCACAGUUUAUCCUCCCAACAGUUCUGUCUCAACCCCGGCUGAGCUUCGUGGAGGCACAGAGAGCGGGGACAGCUGGCUCAGAUCACACGGCAGUGAAGGGUGGACCCCGUUCUCCUGAAUCUCCAGGAGGAGAGAAGGGUUCCGAUUCCUGCCCCAGCCACUGGCACCCCUGAAGAAGCUGACGGGCCACAGCCAAGUUUAGGGGCUCUGGAGAGGAGCAAGAAGACGGUGGCUGUCAGGUCACGUGAUGGAAGGGGCCUGGGAUGGCCAGCGCAGGGGAUUUGGAGGAGCGUCAGGCCCUGGUGCUCCUGGGGCUGGGGGCAGGAGGUGAGGAUGUGAUGCCUGGAGCUGCAGCAGCCACUUUAUAAUCAUGAGGCAUCAACCAGCUCACUAAGAAGUCAGCGAAGAGCCUGGCUUCUUUGGACACCAAACCAAUCCCGAGACCACCUCUGCUCCUGGACUUCUUGUGGAAUAAACAAUAAAUGUCCUUAUGGAAUAAGC
This 640-nucleotide long non-coding RNA is filed under the name Homo sapiens (human). RNAcentral describes it as "HSALNT0342383". Lineage: Eukaryota; Metazoa; Chordata; Mammalia; Primates; Hominidae. The record is from RNAcentral.